This is a long non-coding RNA of Gossypium raimondii (Peruvian cotton), 1565 nucleotides long. RefSeq lists it as uncharacterized. The record is from RefSeq and is a predicted model, not a curated record. Lineage: Eukaryota; Viridiplantae; Streptophyta; Magnoliopsida; Malvales; Malvaceae. The transcript has 4 exons.
GCCACCCACCAGCUUUAAUGAUAGCAGGUUCCAAUGCUUCUUUUACUCUACUAUCCUUUAUUGCAUAAGAACCUUUCAUUUCUUCAAUCAAGAGGUUUCAAUCCGCGCCUCUCCAUCACUCGACUGACUGUCUCUGGGACUCCCUUCUCCAGGUAAAAACUUUCGCUUCUCUUAAGAGCCUCCGUUGCAAUAGUGUGAGCAUAGAUGUUUUUUUGCUUUUGGAAUAAAAGAAAACUUAAUCUCCUGGUAACAAUUUUUCCGGUUCCGAAUAUCUCUGAUUAUUGCUCCAAUGACCGAUCUAUCUGUAAUGGAACUUUUACACUUUUUGAUAACUGUUUUUGCAUCACCCAUUAUCUCCAUUUUGUUGAUUCCCAAAUUAAUACCUAGAGUGAUUGCUUGUAAUCCUGCAUGAGCCUCCGCUGUGAAUGAAUCUUCGAUGUUGGAGUGGAGAACUGCUAAAGACGCAAGGAUUUCCCCUUCCCCACUCCAAACUAUUAACCCCGAUGCCGAUCUAAACGUCUGACUAUCAAACGCUGCAUCAAAAUGAACUGUUGCCCAUCCCCUUUUGAAAACCUGUUGAUAACAGUCAGAAGUAUGGAAGUUGAUUUCUACUGAACCAGAUAUACCAUAGUCCACAGCAGAAUAGUCGCAACUGCUCCUCGUUUCCUUGACCAAAGAUUCCGGUGAGCCAUCUCCAUAAAUCCUCAUUAUUGUAGUUCAGUAUCCACGAAAGAUUAAGAUGAUACCAGACCUCAAUCACUGCAGGGCACUGUUGGAAAAUAUGGCGACUGCUUUCUUCUUCACACUCACAUCUGGGACAUUUAGUAUUCACCAAAACCCGCUUUAUUUUGAGAUUGAGAAAAGAGGGGAUAUAGUUCCAUGAAAUCCUCCAUAUAGUCAUUUUGAUUUUCGAUGGAAUUUGUAAUGUCCAUAGUUUCCUGUAAAAGCUUAUAGUUUCGGUAUGUAAAAAUAACUCAUUAGGAUCCAAAGUCAACUCAUGUAAUAGUUUAUAGGCGCUCCUAACUGAAAAUUCUCCGGUCGACUCCCCUUUCCAAACUUGAAGAUCUUCAUGUUCUGUCUCCGCCAAUGGGAUCCUCAAUAUUUUCUCCGCUACAACUAGUUUGAAGAUCAUCACAGAUGGAAAUCCUAUCACCUCGACCCACUCUCCAGCAUAGACCUUUUUCAAGCAGACCUUUCGCAGACUAAACACUUUUCCAGGAUUUCUUCCUCUUCGUCAUCAAGGGAUAGGGCUGCAAAGUCAGAUUCCAUGGUCGUUAUACGUGAAGAAUAGAAAGAGAAGAUUAUUCACAACACUGGAAAACUCAGCCGUCAAACCAAAAAACUAUUGAAAAAAAAGAAAACCUAGACUUCCCAGAAGGGCAGACAGAGACGAGCUAGGGUAGCAGACUUUUAUAAAAGACUUAAUAUAACAAUCGUAUUUAAGAGAUAAAAUUGCAACAUUUUAUCUGCUUAAAUCAAGAAUCUAUUUUAAAAAAUUAAUCUCUUAUUGGUUCAAUUUUUUUGUACAAAUAUUAUUAUUUUUUAAAGAGAAGUCUUUACGUCAA